Molecule: ribosomal RNA, 468 nt
Filed under: uncultured bacterium
Lineage: Bacteria
Description: partial 16S ribosomal RNA
Rfam family: Bacterial small subunit ribosomal RNA
Source: RNAcentral
GACGAACGCUGGCGGCGUGCUUAACACAUGCAAGUCGAACGGAAAGGCCCUGCUUUUGUGGGGUGCUCGAGUGGCGAACGGGUGAGUAACACGUGAGUAACCUGCCCUUGACUUUGAGAUAACUUCAGGAAACUGGGGCUAAUACCGGAUAGGAGCUCCUGCUGCAUGGUGGGGGUUGGAAAGUUUCGGCGGUUGGGGAUGGACUCGCGGCUUAUCAGCUUGUUGGUGGGGUAGUGGCUUACCAAGGCUUUGACGGGUAGCCGGCCUGAGAGGGUGACCGGCCACAUUGGGACUGAGAUACGGCCCAGACUCCUACGGGAGGCAGCAGUGGGGAAUAUUGCACAAUGGGCGGAAGCCUGAUGCAGCAACGCCGCGGGCGGGAUGACGGCCUUCGGGUUGUAAACCGCUUUCGCCUGUGACGAAGCGUGAGUGACGGUAAUGGGUAAAGAAGCACCGGCUAACUACGUG